RNAcentral lists this ribosomal RNA (201 nucleotides) under uncultured bacterium. Its description in RNAcentral is "partial 16S ribosomal RNA". It matches the Rfam family "Bacterial small subunit ribosomal RNA", at positions 524 to 725 of the family's 1533-position model. The record is from RNAcentral.
UACGUAGGGGGCAAGCGUUGUCCGGAUUUACUGGGCGUAAAGAGCGUGUAGGCGGCCAAACAGGUCCGCUGUGAAAACUGGAGGCUCAACCUCCAGACGUCGACGGAAACCGUGUGGCUAGAGUCCGGAAGAGGAGAGUGGAAUUCCCGGUGUAGCGGUGAAUGACGCAGAUAUCGGAGGAACACCAGUAGCGAAGGCGGC